AGUAAAACGUUGAAUAGAAGAGUAGUUCAUUUUAAUUUAGAAGAGAAUUUGCGGUCGCUGUGAGCAAAUAGUUAAAUUGUACGAAACACAUCUAUGAGUAUAAAGCUGAACAAAGUAAGCUUUAUCGGAAGUGUCCGUUAUCACAUAACAGUCUUUGACUUAUUGAGAUGCUACUAGUGAUAGUAGCAUAACAAAGAGGUGGAACCGCGAUGAAACGCCCUCUAA
RNAcentral lists this non-coding RNA (225 nucleotides) under Leuconostoc suionicum. RNAcentral's name for it is "T-box". It matches the Rfam family "T-box leader". From Rfam's summary of the family: Uncharged tRNA acts as the effector for transcription antitermination of genes in the T-box leader family. T-boxes are found upstream of many aminoacyl-tRNA synthetase genes and some amino acid biosynthetic genes usually in Gram-positive bacteria. The record is from RNAcentral. Lineage: Bacteria; Bacillati; Bacillota; Bacilli; Lactobacillales; Lactobacillaceae.